GGGCCCGUAGCUUAGCCUGGUGGAGCGUCUGGCUCAUAACCAGAUGGUCGUCGGUUCGAAAAGCAUGGUCGUGGUUGGCAUCGUCCUUGCUACGAAAAUCCGACCGGGCCCA
RNAcentral lists this transfer RNA (112 nucleotides) under Methanomassiliicoccales archaeon. RNAcentral describes it as "tRNA-Met". It matches the Rfam family "tRNA". From Rfam's summary of the family: Transfer RNA (tRNA) molecules are approximately 80 nucleotides in length. The record is from RNAcentral. RNAcentral also lists the same sequence under 1 other name. Lineage: Archaea; Methanobacteriati; Thermoplasmatota; Thermoplasmata; Methanomassiliicoccales.